RNAcentral lists this long non-coding RNA (806 nucleotides) under Malus domestica (apple). RNAcentral's name for it is "long non-coding RNA (MDOM_LNC005865)". Lineage: Eukaryota; Viridiplantae; Streptophyta; Magnoliopsida; Rosales; Rosaceae. The record is from RNAcentral.
GUGGUAUAUUCAAAUACCCCAUUUGAGAAAUGUAUGAUAAGUUAUUUCCUAGUUUUGUGUAUGUGCUUUAAAUAACGUUUAUUCAGUUAUUUCGCAUAUAGGUGAGACCUAUCCUAAGGACGAGAGACAUCAAUUGAGGCUCGGGAGCUACGACCCUUCGACAUAUCAGUGUGUGGGCUUUUGGUUUUUCCGUAUAUACCUAUAUACUUGAGAUUUUUCCCAAAAAAUGAAUUUGAAUGAUUAUACGUUUGAAAUGCCAUGCAAAGUAUCUGCCUAUUUUAUUAUGCGUUAGUAGUUGCAUAUAUUUAUGAUUGGUGUUGCGGAUGCACAGGUAAGUGCCAGGUAAGUUCAUAAAUUAAAGAUAUGAGGUUACUUCAGUUAUGUGAGAUAUGAUGUGAUGUAUUGAAAGCUCAUAAACCUGCACCCCGGUGUUAGUACUCCCGUCCAAAGUUAGGGCACAGUCUUUCACGUGAUGUUCACCUCCCGCACCAUAUGCUCACCUUGGAUCCAAGUUAGGUGCACAGGCUUGUCGUACAGACCAUUAUAGGUGGUUCUGACUCAUAGGUGACCCGCGAUCAUUCGCAUAGCCUUCACGCGAUCGUAGCAGUAGAUCAUAUUUAAUUUACACCUAGUCUUGUCGUACAGACUACUUUAGGUGGUUCCAACUUGUGUGUAGAUUUGAUUUGAUAUGAUUGAGAUUGGUUAAGAGCUAUAUACUCAACUAUGUAGAUUGAGUGAGAGGGAUUUGGCUUAUGCGAUAUUUGACAUUGAUAUAUUUUGCCUGGAUUACUUAUAGCAUUGUGUUG